RNAcentral lists this ribosomal RNA (378 nucleotides) under uncultured eukaryote. RNAcentral describes it as "partial 18S ribosomal RNA". It matches the Rfam family "Eukaryotic small subunit ribosomal RNA", at positions 592 to 976 of the family's 1831-position model. The record is from RNAcentral.
CAAUAGCGUAUAUUUAAGUUGCUGCAGUUAAAAAGCUCGUAGUUGGAUUUCGGGUGGGAAUGGCCGGUCCGCCGUUUCGGUGUGCACUUGCUACGCCCACCUUGCUGCCGGGGACGUGCUCUUGAGUUCACGCUCGGGACACGGAGUCGGCGAGGUUACUUUGAGUAAAUUAGAGUGUUCAAAGCAGGCCUACGCUCUGAAUACAUUAGCAUGGAAUAAUGGAAUAGGACUUUGGUGCUAUUUUGUUGGUUUAUGGGACCGAAGUAAUGAUUAACAGGGACAGUUGGGGCCGUUUAUAUUUCGUUGUCAGAGGUGAAAUUCUUGGAUUUACGAAAGAUAAACUUCUGCGAAAGCAUUCGGCAAGGAUGUUUUCAUUGA